CGAGUAAUGCAUUGAUAACCUGCCUUUGAGAUGGGGAUAACAACGUCUCGCAAGAGACUUCCGAAAGGGUUGCUAAUACCCAAUAAGACUGUAGGUGCGGAGGUGCUGAGAGUCAUAAGGUCUGGAGUGAAAGCUCCAUUAUGCUCAGAGAGGGGUCAAUGUCCUAUCAGCUAGUUGGUAUGGGUAAAGGCCUACCAAGGCGAAGACGGGUAGCCGGCCUGAGAGGGUGGUCGGCCGCAUUGGGACUGAGACACUGCCCAGACUCCUACGGGAGGCUGCAGUCGAGAAUCUUUCGCAAUGCCCGCAAGGGUGACGAAGCGACGCCGCGUGUGGGAAGAAGGCCUACGGGUUGUAAACCACUGUCAGGAGUUAAGAAAGGUGUACGGGUAAAUAGUCCGUGCAUUUGACAAAAGCUCCGGAGGAAGCCACGGCUAACUCUGUGCCAGCAGCCGCGGUAAUACAGAGGUGGCAAGCGUUGUUCGGAAUUAUUGGGCGUAAAGAGCACGUAGGCGGCCCUGCAAGUCAGCUGUGAAAGCCUCCUGCUUAACGGGAGAAGUGCAGUUGCAAACAUACGGGGCUAGAGUGCGGAAGGGGAGAGUGGAACUUCUGGUGGAGCGGUGAUAAUGCGUAGAUAUCAGAAGGAACAUCGGCGGCGAAAGCGGCUCUCUGGUCCGUAACUCGACGCUGAGGUGCGAAAGCCAGGGGAGCAAUACGGGAUUAGAUACCCCGGUAGUCCUGGCCGUAAACGAUGGGCACUCGGUAGAGGGGUUUGAAUAUCUCUCUGCCUGAGCUAACGCGUUAAGUGCCCCGCCUGGGGAGUACGGCCGCAAGGCUAAAACUCAAAAGAAUUGACGGGGGCUCGCACAAGCGGUGGAGCAUGUGGCUUAAUUCGAUGCAACACGAAGAACCUUACCGGGGCUCGACAUGACAGAAGUAGGAGUCCGAAAGGACAACCAACGGUAUCCAGUCCGUAGCUGUCACAGGUGUUGCAUGGCUGUCGUCAGCUCGUGUCGUGAGACGUUGGGUUAAGUCCCCUAACGAGCGAAACCCUUGUCUUUAGUUGCCAACGGGUCAAGCCGGGCACUCUAAAGAGACUGCUGUCGUUAAGACGGAGGAAGGUGGGGAUGACGUCAAGUCAUCAUGGCCCUUAUGUCCCGGGCUGCACACGUGCCUACAAUGGUCGGUACAAAGGGAUGCUAAAUCGACUAGAUGGAGCGAAACCCAGAAAGCCGGUCCCAGUUCAGAUUGGAGGCUGAAACCCGCCUCCAUGAAGGAGGAAUCGCUAGU
RNAcentral lists this ribosomal RNA (1287 nucleotides) under uncultured bacterium. RNAcentral describes it as "bacterial SSU rRNA". It matches the Rfam family "Bacterial small subunit ribosomal RNA", at positions 107 to 1339 of the family's 1533-position model. The record is from RNAcentral.